Long non-coding RNA from Arabidopsis thaliana (thale cress), 352 nucleotides. RefSeq annotates it as other RNA. The transcript has a single exon. The record is from RefSeq. Lineage: Eukaryota; Viridiplantae; Streptophyta; Magnoliopsida; Brassicales; Brassicaceae.
GCAGUUUUGAAUUUUUAGCCCCACAUUUUACCGGACCGGCACUGACAAGACUUAGUCUUUCUAUAAAAGGACACUCUUUCUCGUUGCUAUUUAGAGGUUUUUGUCUCGGCAUGACGUGAAGUGCUCGGAAUAACCCCAAUUUGGGAGCUUUUUCGCCUAUGCCUUCCAAGUUCCUUCUCAUGGUUAUCGUCUCUUCUACAACACCAGCAUAAUAUACAUAUGACAUGAUGUAUUAAACCAUGAAAAUCAACAAAACAAUAACAUAAAUAAAAUAACGAAAGUAUAUGUAAGUAAGUGACUCAUUGAGUUUGCGGUGUUCUGCUUGGGUUGCAAGGGCUUGUUCAUCUAUAAA